RNAcentral lists this unclassified non-coding RNA (255 nucleotides) under uncultured fungus. RNAcentral's name for it is "sequence contains ITS1". The record is from RNAcentral. Lineage: Eukaryota; Fungi.
GUCCAUUUUCCCUCUCAUCACCCUUUUCUCCUCUGUCAAACAUUCAAGCGUAAACAUCGGGACAGUGGCCACGGCCACCCCCCCGUGCAAAUGUGGGCACGGAAAGGCAAGGGACGCCCAGCAGUGCAUACAGAGGCAGAGAGUCAGAGACACAUCUCUCACACCUCACCACCCCACACACACCCCACAGCGCCCCUCCCCCACCACCACCACUCUCGAUUUGUAAUGAUCCUUCCGCAGGUUCACCUACGGAAA